This 125-nucleotide unclassified non-coding RNA is filed under the name soil metagenome. Its description in RNAcentral is "partial internal transcribed spacer 1". The record is from RNAcentral.
AAGAAUUUAAAGAGUGCACUUCAUUGUGGCUCGACAUUUUCUACCAUUCACCCUAGUGCACCGUAAUACCUUUUUUAUUAGACUCUACAAAGUUAAUGAAUGUAACACUUUUUUAUAAAGAAAUA